This 1192-nucleotide ribosomal RNA is filed under the name Escherichia coli. RNAcentral's name for it is "partial 23S ribosomal RNA". It matches the Rfam family "Bacterial large subunit ribosomal RNA", at positions 552 to 1746 of the family's 2925-position model. The record is from RNAcentral. Lineage: Bacteria; Pseudomonadati; Pseudomonadota; Gammaproteobacteria; Enterobacterales; Enterobacteriaceae.
GAAACCGUGUACGUACAAGCAGUGGGAGCACGCUUAGGCGUGUGACUGCGUACCUUUUGUAUAAUGGGUCAGCGACUUAUAUUCUGUAGCAAGGUUAACCGAAUAGGGGAGCCGAAGGGAAACCGAGUCUUAACUGGGCGUUAAGUUGCAGGGUAUAGACCCGAAACCCGGUGAUCUAGCCAUGGGCAGGUUGAAGGUUGGGUAACACUAACUGGAGGACCGAACCGACUAAUGUUGAAAAAUUAGCGGAUGACUUGUGGCUGGGGGUGAAAGGCCAAUCAAACCGGGAGAUAGCUGGUUCUCCCCGAAAGCUAUUUAGGUAGCGCCUCGUGAAUUCAUCUCCGGGGGUAGAGCACUGUUUCGGCAAGGGGGUCAUCCCGACUUACCAACCCGAUGCAAACUGCGAAUACCGGAGAAUGUUAUCACGGGAGACACACGGCGGGUGCUAACGUCCGUCGUGAAGAGGGAAACAACCCAGACCGCCAGCUAAGGUCCCAAAGUCAUGGUUAAGUGGGAAACGAUGUGGGAAGGCCCAGACAGCCAGGAUGUUGGCUUAGAAGCAGCCAUCAUUUAAAGAAAGCGUAAUAGCUCACUGGUCGAGUCGGCCUGCGCGGAAGAUGUAACGGGGCUAAACCAUGCACCGAAGCUGCGGCAGCGACGCUUAUGCGUUGUUGGGUAGGGGAGCGUUCUGUAAGCCUGCGAAGGUGUGCUGUGAGGCAUGCUGGAGGUAUCAGAAGUGCGAAUGCUGACAUAAGUAACGAUAAAGCGGGUGAAAAGCCCGCUCGCCGGAAGACCAAGGGUUCCUGUCCAACGUUAAUCGGGGCAGGGUGAGUCGACCCCUAAGGCGAGGCCGAAAGGCGUAGUCGAUGGGAAACAGGUUAAUAUUCCUGUACUUGGUGUUACUGCGAAGGGGGGACGGAGAAGGCUAUGUUGGCCGGGCGACGGUUGUCCCGGUUUAAGCGUGUAGGCUGGUUUUCCAGGCAAAUCCGGAAAAUCAAGGCUGAGGCGUGAUGACGAGGCACUACGGUGCUGAAGCAACAAAUGCCCUGCUUCCAGGAAAAGCCUCUAAGCAUCAGGUAACAUCAAAUCGUACCCCAAACCGACACAGGUGGUCAGGUAGAGAAUACCAAGGCGCUUGAGAGAACUCGGGUGAAGGAACUAGGCAAAAUGGUGCCGUAACUUCGGGAGAAGG